This 2571-nucleotide ribosomal RNA is filed under the name Triticum aestivum (bread wheat). Its description in RNAcentral is "partial small subunit ribosomal RNA". The record is from RNAcentral. Lineage: Eukaryota; Viridiplantae; Streptophyta; Magnoliopsida; Poales; Poaceae.
AUGGUGCGAGGCCUGCCAUGCCUCGACCAUGUGGAGCAGUUCUGCGACAUCUGCGUGAUGAUGAAGCAGAGACGACUCCCCUUUCCCCAACAGGCGAGUUUUCGGGCCAAGGAGAGGCUGGAGCUCGUGCACGGAGACCUGUGCGGCCCGGUGACGCCAGCCACACUAGGAGGUCGACGCUACUUCCUGCUGCUCGUCGACGAUCUCUCCCGUUACAUGUGGGUGAUGAUCCUCGGCAGUAAGGGAGAGGCGGCGGACGCCAUCAGGCGCGCGCAGGUUGGUGUGGAGGCGGAGAGCGGCCGCAAAUUGCGCGCGUUGCGCACUGACAACGGCGGCGAAUUCACGGCGGCUGAAUUCGCGUCGUACUGCGCCGAUGAGGGCAUCCAGCGCCACUACUCCGCGCCGUACAGCCCGCAGCAAAACGGCGUCGUCGAGCGGCGCAACCAGACGGUUGUGGGGAUGGCUCGAGCUCUCCUCAAGCAGAGAGGGAUGCCGACUGUCUUCUGGGGAGAGGCGGUGCUAACAGCCGUCUACAUCCUAAACCACUCGCCUACCAAGGCACUCGACGGUAGGACACCGUACGAGGCCUGGCAUGGGCGGAAGCCGGCGGUCUCCCACUUGCGGGUCUUUGGCUGCCUUGCGUUCGCCAAGGAGCUCGGUCACAUCGGCAAGCUCGACGACAGGAGCACUCCGGGAGUCUUCAUCGGCUACGCGGAGGGCUCAAAGGCCUACCGCAUCCUCAACCCAAAGACACAGCGUGUGCGCACGGCGCGAGACGUCGUGUUCAACGAAGGGCGAGGGUGGCAAUGGGACAAGGCGGUGGACGACGGCUCGACGCCGACGUACGACGACUUCAUUGUCGAGUACGUCCACUUCAAGGAAGCCGGGGGAGCAACCAGCUCCUCGUCGCCGGGCACGCCUACCCCGGCCCCCAAAACCACAUCGACUCCGGUGCCUGCUACGCCGACGGCACCACAACCGGCGACGCCGCACACUCCAGCCCCGGCAGUCACCACCCCGGGCUCAUCUUCAUCAGCACCAGCUCACGCAGAGCACAACCCGACGAAGUUCGCUUCUCCGCUCACUCACGACGAGGAGCGGAUCGACGCGUAUUAUGGCGGUGAACCGUUGCGGUAUCGUACGAUGGAAGAUCUACUCGGCGACCAGCCGGUGCCGGGACUGGUGCCACGUGACCUGGAGGCGCAGCUACAACUCGCGUGUGAAGACGGCGAACCACGGUCUUUUGCAGAGGCCGAGAGAGACGCGGCAUGGCGCGCCGCGAUGCAGUUGGAGAUGGAUGCGGUCGAGCAAAACCGCACCUGGGAGCUCGCUGACCUCCCUCGUGGUCACCGCGCAAUCAUCAAGCACAAGGCUCGCUUGGUGGCCCGAGGCUUCUUGCAACAGGAAGGAGUCGACUUCGACGACGCUUUCGCUCCCGUGGCACGGAUGGAGUCCGUGCGACUUCUCCUCGCGCUGGCUGCCCAGGAGGGCUGGCAUGUCCAUCACAUGGAUGUCAAGUCGGCAUUCCUCAACGGCGACUUGAAGGAGGAAGUCUACGUGCAUCAGCCACCGGGAUUUGCGAUCCCUGGCCAGGAGGGCAAGGUACUCCGCCUGCGCAAGGCUCUCUAUGGCCUACGGCAGGCACCUAGGGCGUGGAACGCCAAGCUGGACUCCACGCUAAAGAAGAUGGGCUUCGAGCAAAGCCCGCAUGAGGCGGCCGUCUACCGACGGGGCAGUGGAGGAAACGCCCUGCUGGUGGGCGUCUAUGUUGACGACUUGGUGAUUACCGGCACCAAAGAUGCAGAGGUGGCAGCGUUCAAGGAAGACAUGAAGGCCACCUUCCAGAUGAGUGAUCUGGGGCUCCUCUCCUUCUAUCUUGGGAUUGAGCUCACUCCGAUGGAGGAGAGGCUGAAACUGAGCCGCGACAGCAAGGCGGAGGAAGUGGAUGCUACGCAGUACCGACGCCUUGUGGGGAGCCUUCGCUACCUCGCCCACACACGGCCGGACUUGGCAUUCUUCGUCGGCUAUGUCAGUCGGUUCAUGGAGCGACCGACGUCGGAACACCAGCAAGCAGUGAAGAGGAUCGUCCGCUACGUAGCAGGGACCCUCGACCACGGCCUCCACUACCCUAGGUGUCCGGGGGCGGCACACUUCGUCGGGUACAGCGACAGCGACCACGCCGGCGACAUCGACACCAGCAAGAGCACGAGCGGGAUCCUCUUCUUCCUCGGCAAGUGUCUCGUGAGCUGGCAAUCAGUCAAGCAGCAGGUGGUGGCCCUGUCCAGCUGUGAGGCUGAAGACACCAGAACGGUGCAGCUCCUGGUGGACAGCAAGUCCGCCCUGGCCCUGGCAAAGAACCCCGUUUUCCACGAACGGAGCAAGCACAUCCGACUGAGGUACCACUUCAUCCGCAGCUGUGUGGAAGAAGGGAGCAUCGAGGCGAGCUACAUCAACACCACGGACCAGCUCGCAGACCUGCUCACCAAGCCUCUUGGGAGGAUCAAGUUCCUCGAACUCUGCUCCAGGAUCGGGAUGAUUCAACCCUCCCACAAAAUGACGUACAAGACUUAG